This 483-nucleotide ribosomal RNA is filed under the name uncultured Flavobacterium sp. RNAcentral's name for it is "bacterial SSU rRNA". It matches the Rfam family "Bacterial small subunit ribosomal RNA", at positions 9 to 490 of the family's 1533-position model. The record is from RNAcentral. Lineage: Bacteria; Pseudomonadati; Bacteroidota; Flavobacteriia; Flavobacteriales; Flavobacteriaceae.
GAGUUUGAUCCUGGCUCAGGAUGAACGCUAGCGGCAGGCUUAACACAUGCAAGUCGAGGGGUAGAGGAAGCUUGCUUCCUUGAGACCGGCGCACGGGUGCGUAACGCGUAUGCAAUCUACCUUGUACAGGGGGAUAGCCCAGAGAAAUUUGGAUUAAUACCCCAUAGUGUAAUUGAAUGGCAUCAUUUAAUUACUAAAGUUCCAACGGUACAAGAUGAGCAUGCGUCCUAUUAGCUAGUUGGUGUGGUAACGGCAUACCAAGGCUACGAUAGGUAGGGGUCCUGAGAGGGAGAUCCCCCCACACUGGUACUGAGACACGGACCAGACUCCUACGGGAGGCAGCAGUGAGGAAUAUUGGACAAUGGGCGCAAGCCUGAUCCAGCCAUGCCGCGUGCAGGAAGACGGUCCUAUGGAUUGUAAACUGCUUUUUAUACGGGAAGAACACUCCUACGUGUAGGAACUUGACGGUACCGUAAGAUAAGG